RNAcentral lists this ribosomal RNA (374 nucleotides) under uncultured organism. RNAcentral's name for it is "partial 16S ribosomal RNA". It matches the Rfam family "Bacterial small subunit ribosomal RNA", at positions 527 to 896 of the family's 1533-position model. The record is from RNAcentral.
GUAGGUGGCAAGCGUUGUCCGGAAUUAUUGGGCGUAAAGCGCGCGCAGGCGGUUCUUUAAGUCUGAUGUGAAAGCCCACGGCUCAACCGUGGAGGGUCAUUGGAAACUGGAGAACUUGUGUACAGAAGAGGAAAGCGGAAUUCCACGUGUAGCGGUGAAAUGCGUAGAGAUGUGGAGGAACACCAGUGGCGAAGGCGGCUUUCUGGUCUGUAACUGACGCUGAGGCGCGAAAGCGUGGGGAGCAAACAGGAUUAGAUACCCUGGUAGUCCACGCCGUAAACGAUGAGUGCUAAGUGUUAGGGGGGUUUUCCGCCCCCCUUAGUGCUGCAGCUAACGCAUUAAGCACUCCGCCUGGGAGUACGGCCGCAAGGCUG